AGGUUCAUAGUCAAGAGGGAAACAGCCCAAACCGUCAGCUAAGGUCCCGAAAUAGUGCUAAGUGUUAAAUGAAGUCCGGAUGCACAGACAGCCAGGAGGUUGGCUCAGAAGCAGCCAUUCCUUGAAAGAGUGCGUAACAGCUCACUGGUCGAGCAUGCGGGCGCAGACAAUGUAACGGGGCUAAGCAUUAUACCGAAGCUGCGGAUCUUGCGCGAAUGCGCAAGGUGGUAGGGGAGCAUGCCGUCAACCGGCGAAGGCGGAUCCGCGAGGGCCGCUGGAGGAAACGGCAGAGAGAAUGCAGGCAUAAGUAACGAAAAGACGGGUGUGAUUCCCGUCCGCCGAAAACAUAAGGUUUCCAGGGUAAAGGCAAUCUGCCCUGGGUAAGUCGGAGCCUAAGUCCAGGCCGAAAGGCGUAGGCGAUGGUAAUCCGGUUCAAAAUCCGGGACCUCCGGCAUUUCGAUGCCACGACGCAUGAGGCGACGUCCGGCGGGAGAACGGUAGUUCCCGUCCAAGCAUUGAGCCGUCAAGGGAGGGGGUUAAAUGAUCCUCCCAGGCGAGAUGUGACAGCGAGCUGAGAGAAAGUCGAAGCGAAGCGGGCAGAGUCAAGGUGCCGAGAAAGAGUGGCUAGGCAAGGUGCCGGAGUCCGUACCGUAAACGGACACACGUAUGUAGGAUGAGUAAUCUAAGGCGCUCGAGCGACCUCGCGUUAAGGAACUCGGCAAAAUGCGCACGUAACUUCGGAAGAAGUGCGGCUCCUGUUUGAAAGGAUAAGGAGCGGCAGAAAAGCAGGCCCAGGCGACUGUUUAUCAAAAACACAGCCAUCUGCGAACCAGCAAUG
This 838-nucleotide ribosomal RNA is filed under the name uncultured Treponema sp. Its description in RNAcentral is "partial 23S ribosomal RNA". It matches the Rfam family "Bacterial large subunit ribosomal RNA", at positions 1001 to 1838 of the family's 2925-position model. Lineage: Bacteria; Pseudomonadati; Spirochaetota; Spirochaetia; Treponematales; Treponemataceae. The record is from RNAcentral.